UGAUUCUCCUUUCCAUUCACUUUGUCGCAUUGGCCUCGACAACGAAAUGCGACAAAAAUUAGAUGUGCAAACAUUUUAAUGUGAAUUCAUAUACGACUGUUCAGUACAAAUGUAUGUAUAAGAGCUCUGUUAAUAUGAAAUUAAUGAAAACAGUGGUUGGUGGGGUUAUAAGCUCCUCUUACAAGGCUUAGCAAAUAUUUGAAGUAAUAGAAGAUGUUGUGGAAGUAGUUUCAGUUAACCGAAGACGUUUGUUGUUACCGUGACGCUAUGUAUCAUUUGUUUAAGCCCAAAAAUAGUCUUACUUUGUUGUGAGUAAGAGCGCGCCACUAUAAGAUACGAAAUAAAACAGAACUAAAGAGAUAUAAAUAACUGCAAUGCGCGACCGCAUAAGCGACGAUACAUGUCUCGAAACGAGUUGGCUUCAUUUAUCAAUGCCACAUCACACAUACGCGCCCACAUAGUUACCUGUAUAUGUGUGAGUAUUUCAACACAACUAUAAGAGUACUUACGAAAGUAGUGAAAGGUGAAAAAAGAGCAAUAAAUUUGUAGUGCCGAGAAUUUCAAGGGAAGCAGCUGAUCAUCACUCUUACUAAUAUGUUUGCAUUGCUAAUCCACAGAAAGGUAAAACUUCAAUGAAAACAUUUUAUCCUGAUCUAAAAUCGACAACCGCUCCAAUAUCAUAUAAAGAAAAAAAUUCUGUACCUGUGUUGGAAAAUCAACUACUCGCUCAGAACAGCCAUCCAUCACAUAGUUCAUCUGUAUCCAUGCGUUCCCGUGCGCAGAAAUGCUGUGGACCGGUGUAAUCAGCCAAGCAAUUGAAGCAGAGCGG
Molecule: non-coding RNA, 829 nt
Organism: Bactrocera oleae (olive fruit fly)
Lineage: Eukaryota; Metazoa; Arthropoda; Insecta; Diptera; Tephritidae
Source: RefSeq, a predicted model, not a curated record